RNAcentral lists this ribosomal RNA (253 nucleotides) under uncultured bacterium. RNAcentral describes it as "partial 16S ribosomal RNA". It matches the Rfam family "Bacterial small subunit ribosomal RNA", at positions 524 to 776 of the family's 1533-position model. The record is from RNAcentral.
UACGUAGGGUGCGAGCGUUGUCCGGAAUCACUGGGCGUAAAGCGCACGUAGGCGGAUGUGUCAGUCAGGGGUGAAAUCCCGGAGCUCAACUCCGGAACUGCCUCUGAUACAGCACGUCUUGAGUUCGAGAGAGGUGGGUGGAAUUCCUAGUGUAGAGGUGAAAUUCGUAGAUAUUAGGAAGAACACCGGUGGCGAAGGCGGCCCACUGGCUCGAUACUGACGCUGAGGUGCGAAAGCGUGGGGAGCAAACAGG